Molecule: transfer RNA, 82 nt
Filed under: Spirochaetota bacterium
Lineage: Bacteria; Pseudomonadati; Spirochaetota
Description: tRNA-Leu
Rfam family: tRNA
About the family: Transfer RNA (tRNA) molecules are approximately 80 nucleotides in length. Their secondary structure includes four short double-helical elements and three loops (D, anti-codon, and T loops).
Source: RNAcentral
GCCGGGGUGGUGGAAUUGGUAGACACGCCAGGUUCAGGGUCUGGUGGAGCGAUCUGUGCGGGUUCGAAUCCCGCUCCCGGCA